GAGAAGAUCCUUGCCCCCUGGAACCCUGGACCCCUGGAUUGCAGUCCCAGAUGUUCAGAUCCUCAAACUUCAGGAGAAUCCAGAAGUUAGUAUUAUUCAUCCUUGCUGCAAUGAGGUUGAGUCAAAGCAGAAGCUGUCCUCUCAUUUGCGGCAUUGUAUAUGCCUGACAAAAAUCUUUUUUUGCCAGGAUGUUCUAACUGGUGAGCUUCCUAGGAAUAUGCUAUUUUCUGUAGACAGGCCCCUUGUUCAAGCCAUUGUUCAAAGAACCAGAUUAACUGUUGUUGGCAUUUACAACGUGUAACAAGCAUAUGCAAACCAGAAGGGUGCUGUUGGUGUUAAACAACCAUGAGUGAAAUGCAUGGCCGGCCGGGGCUCAAGUAGAACCAUGCUGUGUAGUCCCUGAACUAUGCAAAGCGGGUCAAUUUCGUCCAUCUGGUGAUGUGGCGUGCCACCGUGGAUCGCCAAGUCAGCGUCCAGUCAGCGUAUGAUGGGAAAUACUGUUUCUACCCUCCAUAGAUCCAGCUAAACUCAGAUUCGCUCGCAGCCCCAGGCCCAGACCCGAGCUCCCUCGCCGCCCCAGCUAGCCAGCGUGCCGGCCCCGAGCUCCCUCACCACCCCAGCUAGCCACCGCGCCGGCCCCGAGCUCCCUCGCCGCCCCAGCUAGCACAUCGCCUCCCCCAGCUAGCUCGCCACCCCUCCCUCCCAAGCAGCUCUCUGGAAUAGUUACCAGAGUUACCUAUGGAAGCAUGCUGCAACCAUGAGAGUUUAAAAGUAUGGUAUUUGGGUGGGAAUGAAAACUGUAAGAUACUUUGGGAGGGCAUAUGAGUGGGUUGGCUUGAGCCGCCAACCCAACAUUAUCAGCAAGUUCAAAAGAACGCUAGGCCAGUUCACACCAGCACGGUGGGACAAGGAUGAGUGGUACCCUCAUCUGGGUCCAUGGAGGUUCAUCCAGGAACGUAAUGGAUCGGCUGGGGCAGCCAACUUGAGGGCAUACGACGGCGCGCCCAGUGUUGUUUUGGUCAUAGUCACCGAAGUUCAAGGAACGGAACGGUAUUGUGAUGCAUUUUUAACCCAAUCUUCUUAAAAGUUAGUCGCAGCUUUCGAUUCAGAUGUGUCUGACGGGGGUAAUCAGCUGGGACAAUGUAAUCUCCAAACAGGUGAAAAAAAAGUUUCCCUGAGAAGAUUAUUUUUCUUAACUUUUCUCCUCCAGCGACGCUUGAGAGGGAUAAGAGUGAUGAUUAUCCAACUGUACUAAUGACGUGGGAGACCGUCUUUAACAUGGUCGUGCACCUUCUUAAACAUACUAGCGUACUUUGCUUGAUAAGAAAGCCCAACAUGUAUGGAAAACAAUGCUCUUGUAUCGAAGUUGUUUCUUAUCAGACGAGUCAAGUAACAAAUCUCUGGAGGAAUAUUCCGUCUAUAGAAGCUAUCAAUGACACUUGCAGGUGAGAUGUAGUUGUUGCGCAGGCCGGCUUCAAGAUCAAUCAGUACCAGUCGGGAGAGACAAACAUUGUAUGCAUUUCUUAAAAUCUCAACUCCACGUAGUGUCAAAGCACCAGUCAGGGAGAAACUAACAUUGUCUGCACUAAUAUCAGGUAAGCAAAACCCUUCAGAUUCAAGUUGCCUGAUGUGCAUUAUCAGCUUGCGAUUAGCUCUUUUGCUGAUGUCACUGCCAACCCGAUAGUAAACUGUGGUAUCAAUUUCUGCUGGUAACAUCCUUCUCGAAUUGUUGCUAGUGUUGCCGUUGAUAUUGGUGACCGUGGUAUUAGUUGUCACAAACUUAGAAACUGUUAGUCUAUCAUAGCAAAAGAGUUCAAUAUCUCCAUUAUUGUGUUGGUAAUGAUAUUGGUUGUAAGUUAGGAAAGAUAGGACUGCAUAAAAGGAAACAUUAUUUUAUCAUAGAUUCAAAUAACAAUUACUGAUGAUAUUAUAAAACAUGCUUACGGAAUUAAUCAUUGAUAUUAUAUGACAAGCAUAAACAGGAGGAGGACAGAACAGUUAAAACAAAUUUUCAAACUGGAUACAUCCCAAUCAGUUGCUAGUAAUAUUGACCCGCAGUAAUAGAAAACAACCCAAUAAUGGAGAUGUUGAACCCUUCUGCCAUGGUGGACUAACAGUUUCUGAUUUUAUGGUCACUAAUACUAUGGUCAUCAAUGCCAAUGGCAACACUAGUAACAACUCGAGAAGGAUGUUACCAGCAGAAAUUGAUACCACAAUUUACUAUCAGGUUGGCAGUGACAUCAGCAAAAUAGCUAGUCGCCAGCUGAUAAGGCACAUCAGCCAACUUGAAUCUGAAAGGGUUUGCUUAGCUGAUCUUAAUGCAGACAAUGUUCGUCUCUCCCCAACUGGUACUAACACUACACGAGGUUGAGAUUUUGAUGAAUGCAGACAAUGUUUGUCUCUCCCAAACUGGUACCGGUUGACGUUGAAGUCGGCCUGCACAAUAACUACAUCUCAGUUGCAAGUGUCAUUGAUGAUUUAUGUGGCUGGAAUAUUCCUCUAGAGAUUCAUCACUUUCGUUUGAUGAGGAACAACUUCGCUGCAAGAGCGUUGUUUCACAUACAUGGUCGGUUUCUCAGGCAAACUACGCUAAUAUAUUCAAGAAGGUGCAUGACCAUGUCAAAGACUGUCUCCCACGUCAUCAGUACAGCCGGAUAAUCAGCACUCUUAUUCCUCUCAAGCGUUGUUGGAGGAGAAAAGUUAAGAAGAAUAAUCUUCUCAGGGAAACAUUUUUUCACCUAUUUGGAGACUACAAUGUCCCAGCUGAUUACCCCCGUCAGACGCAACUGAAUCGAAAGCAGCGACUAGCUCUUAUGAAGAUUGGGUUAAAUCCAUCAACCUACAAUCAUCCUUCAUUGAGCAAGAGUGCCAUUAGCUUCUGGCUUUCUUGAGGAAUCAUUCGGGUCAUCGGAUGGAGUCCUUUCUCAACUAGGUUUCACAAGGUAAUGCUGAUUUCACCCCUAAAGAAUCUGAGUUGGUUGCUAUGGUGAGAUUCCCCGAGGUACUUCCAAAAUUGCAGUUGAACAUAUUUAACAUGAAUCCGCAAUUCCUUCUGGACCUAAAAUUGGAGGAAUCACUACAACACAUAUGACCUUCUGUGAUGAAUAUCUCACGACAGUUGGUCAAAACGUCAUAGACCAUUUUGUUUUGUGACCUUUUGGUUGAGGAAGUAUGAUUUAGUGACAAAAACCUGGUGUUCGUCGCUAAAAUCAAGUAGAAAUCGUCGUAGACGAGACAAAGAUCUUAUCGUUACGAUUUUAAUCUGUCACAAAAGUUAACUCAGUGACGAAUUAGAUUCACAGGUCCAAAUUUGAAAAAUGAUGUGUCGAGGGAUUUAACAUCAAAUCUCAACACAAGUAAACCAAUUGCUGCCGCGCAACUCCAGUUGCCGCCGCGCAACUCCAGCAAUCAAGAGGCCACCGGGCCAGAGAGUCUUCCCUCCCGCGUAGCCGCACACCCGCAAGCUCUCAAGCAUGAGCGGCCGGCGCUGGCUGGCAGCUGGAGGAGGCGGGGGAGGGGGUGGCGGCGGCGACGGCGACGGCGGGAACUGGCGUAGGAGCGGCUCGGCAUGAUUCAAUCGCUUGCUUCUACGCUGUUGGCCUGCCUGGCUGUCCACCAAUGACUGGGAGGCCAUCGACCGCUACACCCUCACCACGUCAUGUCCUUUGACAAGAUCGACCUCCAUCAAGCAAACCACCAGGUACCCGAUUGAUGCUCUACUCUGCAUUUUACCACAUGAAGCAUGUCUCUCUCUUUUAUGUAUUGUGCCUGGUUGUUAAUCUGCCCAGUGUACAUCUAAAUUAUUUUGCAAUGAUGCCACAUCCUUUUAAAGUUAUUCUUUUCCAUACAUGUAAUUUGUCAUUGUUCCGUGUAUGCUGUGUUGCCACAUCCUCACCGUGGUGCUCGCCCGGGUCUCUUCUCCAUGCGCUCUUCGCGCCACCACUGCGCCAAGGCCUCCCUGCUGCUGCAGGUACAAAAUGUGACCCUCGGCAACAGACUCUUGGAUCUGAAUCAAACAACCUGUUUAGCCAUGUGGGUUUUUUCAGUUACACUCUUGGAUCAGGAUAACGUCAUGUAACGGCCAGGGGUAGCCCUAGCCGAUAGUUGACAACAGAUGGGGAAGAUCGUUGUCUACCCUGCCCUGCGCUUGUUGGUGUUGUGAGGUAGAAGAGGAGAAUACUUGUAUAUUGAUUGAUGUAGAGUUUACAUGGUUGGGUAUAU
RNA transcript from Panicum virgatum (switchgrass), 4221 nucleotides. RefSeq lists it as uncharacterized. The transcript has 8 exons. The record is from RefSeq and is a predicted model, not a curated record. NCBI's taxonomy places the organism in Eukaryota, Viridiplantae, Streptophyta, Magnoliopsida, Poales, Poaceae.